CCUUAUGUAGUAAAACUUUAAUAUGUUGGGCUUAAAACUCAGAGAUGGGAUUAUACCCCGUAAGGU
RNAcentral lists this transfer RNA (66 nucleotides) under Tridacna crocea. RNAcentral describes it as "tRNA-Leu". It matches the Rfam family "tRNA". Rfam says of the family: Transfer RNA (tRNA) molecules are approximately 80 nucleotides in length. Lineage: Eukaryota; Metazoa; Mollusca; Bivalvia; Cardiida; Cardiidae. The record is from RNAcentral.